CCUACGGUCGGCAGCAGUGGGGAAUAUUGGACAAUGGGCGAAAGCCUGAUCCAGCCAUGCCGCGUGUGUGAAGAAGGCCUUCGGGUUGUAAAGCACUUUCAGUGGGGAAGAAAGCCUUGGGGCUAAUACCCUCGAGGAAGGACAUCACCCACAGAAGAAGCACCGGCUAACUCCGUGCCAGCAGCCGCGGUAAUACGGAGGGUGCGAGCGUUAAUCGGAAUUACUGGGCGUAAAGCGCGCGUAGGCGGUCUGAUAAGCCGGUUGUGAAAGCCCCGGGCUCAACCUGGGAACGGCAUCCGGAACUGUCAGGCUAGAGUGCAGGAGAGGAAGGUAGAAUUCCCGGUGUAGCGGUGAAAUGCGUAGAGAUCGGGAGGAAUACCAGUGGCGAAGGCGGCCUUCUGGACUGACACUGACGCUGAGGUGCGAAAGCGUGGGUAGCAAACAGGAUUAGAUACCCCGGUAGUC
RNAcentral lists this ribosomal RNA (465 nucleotides) under Vreelandella stevensii. RNAcentral's name for it is "partial 16S ribosomal RNA". It matches the Rfam family "Bacterial small subunit ribosomal RNA", at positions 338 to 795 of the family's 1533-position model. The record is from RNAcentral. Lineage: Bacteria; Pseudomonadati; Pseudomonadota; Gammaproteobacteria; Oceanospirillales; Halomonadaceae.